RNA transcript from Eutrema salsugineum, 921 nucleotides. It is a transcript of the gene named peptidyl-prolyl cis-trans isomerase FKBP16-1, chloroplastic, with no coding region annotated. The transcript has 8 exons. Lineage: Eukaryota; Viridiplantae; Streptophyta; Magnoliopsida; Brassicales; Brassicaceae. The record is from RefSeq and is a predicted model, not a curated record.
CUCUCACUCUGUGUGCUGCUCAAAGACCCCCAAAAAAUCUGGCGCCUCUUCUUAUCCAGAAUCUAGAGAAGAAGAAAACGAUUGACGACGACGCCGAUGGCUUUGGAGAUUGCUCAACUUUUCGUCGGAUCAUCCAUUAAAUUAAGCAGCGUGGCGGGAAAAUCUAGGAGCGGCGUUUCUGGGAUCACUCGUGGUGGAUUAUCGUCGAUUUCGGCCGUACAUCUGCCCAGAAGGAUGUUUAUGCAGCUCGCUGGUUUGGGUUCGGUCUUGACGCUUCUGGAUUUUCCUGGUUUAGCGGCGCCAGUUCCUGAUAUGAAGGAACCUGAAGUGAUCAGUGUCCAGGACGUUGAAGCUCCCGAGUGGUGUGAGGAUUCAAGAGAUUCUUGAAGGGGAAGGACGAGAAGCUCAUGAAGGGGACCUUGUUGAACUAAACUAUGUAUGUCGACGUGCAAAUGGAUAUUUCGUUCAUAGCACUGUGGAUCAAUUCAGCGGCGAAAGUGCUCCUGUCAAACUUUUUCUUGACGACAAUGACGUCAUUGAGGGUUUGAAGGAAGUCUUGUUGGGCAUGAAAGCUGGAGGGAAGCGUAGAGCACUGAUACCUCCAUCGGUUGGGUACAUAAACGAGACAUUGAAGCCAAUCCCCGAGGAGUUUGGACCAAGACGUAGCCUUCUAUCGCACGCGAAUGAGCCUCUGGUCUUUGAAGUCCAGCUCUUGAAAGUAUUAUGAUCUUCUUCUUGGGACAAUGUCAAUGAAGUAUUUGGCUGUAUUUGUUUAUUUUCUCCUGUAAAUCUGUAAAACAAUCUGCGUAGAUCUAUCUCAUGAGUUCUCUUUUUCUGCUAAAGCUUUUAUUUAAGCUGUUUUUUAGACUUGAGUUGUUGGUGAAUUACUUAGGAGUAAUGUAUAGUUGUGAUUUGUGAACC